UAUACAAUCCAGGACUACCUGGCCAUGGUCUGCACUGACCUCAGUGGUCUGGGCUUUUCUCAUAAACCAUUAAUUGAUUACCUGCCUAUAGGCAAUCCGAGGAAGGCAUUUCGUUAAUUGAGGUGCUCUCCUCCUGGAUGACCCUAGUUUGCAUCAGUUUGAUAAACAAACAAAAAAGCAAAACGAAACAAAACAACCUAACCAGAGCAAUGGUAGUGAGACAGUCAGUUACUUUUGUGUAAUUGUCCUAUUUGAUCAUAGAAAAACACCCUGCACUCGCUUAGCACAGAGUACCUUCUGGUCUUUGCCCUCCCUGUACCAUAGUUCCUUGUGAAGUAAUCUGUUACUCAUCACCUCAGACUGAUUUGUGCGGUGGCCAUUCCCCAGAGAAAUGCAAUACGCAUGCCUUUAAUAAUGAAGCCAGCUUCCCUUUCUUAUAAAGAUCCCACUGGGACUGCUAUAGCUUGCUAACAGAAUGAAAGGCACAGACAAACUACUUCCUCUGUGCUUGAGUGUGUGCGUGCUUGCGUGCGUGCGUGCGUGCGUGCGUGGGUGUGUGUGUGUGUGAUAUUAUUUUUAUAACCACUCCUGGCAGAAGGGACCAUCACUUGCACUUUUGUGUGAAGACUUUCGGGAGCACCAAUGAUUUAUCCAAGCACAUCCAGUCACAGUUCCGGGACUCCAAUCUAGCAGUCUUGCGGUCCUCCCACCUACAGGUGACAGGCAGUGUGACCCGGAGUCAGUGCAUUAUGCUAGGUCCCAGGGUCCAAAAGUGUCUACACACAGUGCGGUACUCAGGGCCAGCCAAGGAAAUAGAGUCGAGGCAUCGAUUUGUCAAACGGCAGAUCUGGAAUUCAAACUCAGCCCGGAGCCUCUUCUCCUCCCGGACUAGCUCUUCUGUGAAGUUAGCGAGUUUGGAACCAUGAUGUACGGUGCUGUUUUAAUUCAUGUUCCCAGGUCCUGCCUCUAGAAAUGGCCACUUGGUUCGUUUAGGAUGGGGCAGGGGAACACGGCUUUUGCCCAGUUGUCUUUGAUGAUGAGGUCUCCCCGUAGUCUCCCCGUUCUGCCUGCAGCUCCGAAUGCGGUACAUGUUUGCCCGGCUCUGUGUUUUCAUCUGUGCCCUGAGGGGCUGGACUAGGAGAUAUGCAAGGUCACAUUCCGUGUCCUUGCACACACACAUCCUGUGACUGCAGGAUACAAGGUGUCUUGCUGAUGUCCCGCAUCCGGGGCAUCCAGACUGCCGCUAACCAGCGAGGGUCGCUCCUUGAAUGCCUGUUGCCCAGGAAUCCCCAUAGAGCGUGAGGCUCCACAGGGACCCUCUGACUCGAGGGUGAAGGAAAGCCCUGUUUGUUGGCUUGAAGUAGUUGGCAAACUGGCGUUUUAAAAAGGAAAUGGACUGCAGGGUAGAGGGUUUAAUUCAGGGAAAUAUUUGGAGGACUCAGUGUUUGCUCUGAGGGGGUCAUCACAUAGGUUUUGUUCCCACACUCCCUGGAAAGAUGAUGCUUCAUUAAAACGGCAACAUGAGGUGUAGUGAAAACGUCAGAAUCGGGGACUCUGAAAAGACACAUUCACUAGAUUCCACUUAAAAUGUAAAAAGGAGUGUAAAGAAAACAAAUGGACAUUUUCUUGAGGCAGCUGAGCGAUACAAAACACAGGCAUCUUUGUCUCCUCCUUGAAGACUUCCACAAUGCCUUCUCCUUUCUUCCUUUUGACUAAUCUGUACUUCUGAGAGGUGUUGAGUUUCGGCCAAACUUUCCGCUUGGUUCGCAUCAAAGGCUGCCCUCUUGUGAGUAGCAGGCUCUCACCUACCCCUCGCCUUACUCACUCCUGACCAGCGGACGCAGGUCACUCCCCAUAAUUAUUAGCUCACAGGCAGAGUUUGCAGGCGGCUCCAGGAGCAUCAAUCACAGGAAUGAAUGCAAGCUGGUGUGUGGGAACGGUCGGGGCAUCCAGGAGCUGAGCACUGUCGCCCCAGCCUUAGUCCCAAGCCACACUCCUUCGCUCCAUCCACCCUGCAGCCGGACAGAACAAAUCACAAGGCUCAUCAUGAAGCUUUGGAGAGAGAAGUUCUAACACUGAACGGCACAACACAGUUCUUACAUGGUGACCACAUAUCUAAACCUACAAGAACCAGGACGGAAAGAUGCAGUGCAAUAAAAUCACAGAUCUCUAGUCUCUUGAGACCUAAGACAAAUGUUUGUUUCUUUUUUUACCACGAGACACACCUAUUUUAUUUGGAAACUAGCAUAAAUAUGUGACAUGAGAAUACAAGUAAUAUAUCCGAUGGCUUUAAGUAGUUUUUGACAAUAAAUAAGUGUUUCUGUUUACUACGUUUUGAUUUUUAAUCAAGAUUUAUUUUA
Molecule: small RNA, 2360 nt
Filed under: Rattus norvegicus (Norway rat)
Lineage: Eukaryota; Metazoa; Chordata; Mammalia; Rodentia; Muridae
Description: uncharacterized LOC108350928
Source: RNAcentral